ACUAACAGGAAUAUACUACUUUAUACUACAGUAGAACCCCGCAAAUCCGAACUAAUUGGGGGACAGCCUGUUCAGAUUCUGAAAAGUUCGGAUUAUCCGAAAGUUAGCCUAAGAAGCUAACGAAGAUGAUUUUUAAAAGAUUUGGACUGCCACCGAUCCCUUUAUGAAACUUUAUCCGCACGUUUAUGCCUCCAAUAUUCUAAAGCUUAAAAAUAUUUAGAUUUAGAUCACUGAAAUAUUAAAUCGCUGACUAUAGUAGUUUUGUUUCCUCAGGGGACAUGGGAAUUCGGCCAUGUAAAUGAUUCAUUUAAUUUGUAAUCUGGAUAUUGAUUACACUAUGUUUCUCAUGUUUCUUAUCUUUUUCAAUGUUUUCCUUCAUGGUAUUAGGGAAUCCAUCGACCUGUCAAAGUUAAAUCACGUGAUCUUUGGUUGGCACACAAAACUGUUCUUAACCUAAACUCAAUGUAAUUAUUGAUUUUUCUUAUUUGUUUUUUGUCGUGAUUUUGAGGUAGUAUAGUAUUUAAAGACAUUCAUUAGAUUAAUUAUUUUAUAAACUUUACGUUUUUGGUGAUUUUGAGUGCUGACAACAUGCCUGUGACUUGUAUAUUAGUGAACUGUGGAAGUCCAACUGAUCGGGAUAAUGUUAAUUUUAAUUUGUUUUUUGUCCUGAUUUUGAGCUAAUAUAGUAUUUAAAGACAUUCAUUAGAUUAAUUAUUUUAUAAACUUUACGUUCUUGGUGAUUUUGAGUGCUGACAACAUGCCUGUCACUUGUAUAAUAGUGAACUGUGCAAUGAACUGUGCAAGUCCAACUGAUCAGAAUAAUGUUAAUUUUAAUUUGUUUUUUGUCGUGAUUUUGAGCUUAAUAUAGUAUUUAAAGACAUUCAUUAGAUUAAUUAUUUUAUAAACUUUUCGUUUGUGGUGAUUUUAAGUGCUGAAAACAUGCCUGUAAUCUGUAUAGUAGUGAACUGUGGAAGUCGAGCUGAUCGGAUAAUGUUAAUUUUUUUCGUGUUCCCUCUAUAGGGCUUUUCAUUCACAGUCAUUUGUUUUGAGCUUCUGUCAUAUGUCGUAUAAUCCGUGUAUAGUAAUAUUAUACACAGAUUAUACAACAUCUGACAGAAGCUCGAAACAAAUGACAAUCGAUGAAAACGUAUUAGAAACUCAUUUAUGUUUCCUCACCUAACUAAAUUGUCAAAUAACAGGACGCACUCAUGCUAGGAAUUAUGGUUUUUAUUAAUAUUAUUACAAUUAUUUAUAUGUGACACUAACGUAACUAGUGACAUUCAUUUUUAGGCCAAUGUGACAAACUUUAUUAAUACUAAAUUUUAACAUUUAUCCCCUAUUUUGUUAAAACAAUAUUAUUUUGUUUUUCAUUCUAUUCAAAAUAAAUGCAGUUUUGACAGGGAA
Diabrotica virgifera virgifera (western corn rootworm) is the source of this 1404-nucleotide long non-coding RNA. RefSeq lists it as uncharacterized. The record is from RefSeq and is a predicted model, not a curated record. The transcript is spliced from 2 exons. NCBI's taxonomy places the organism in Eukaryota, Metazoa, Arthropoda, Insecta, Coleoptera, Chrysomelidae.